GAUGGGUCCACCCAACACCGUCUUCGGGUUUGUUCCCACACCAAGACCUUCACGUGAUACAUCUACCGCACCUAGAUGAGAUGCAAGAUGCAAGUGCAUGAAUAUGCGGAAUAGUGACACAACAUGCAUCACAUAAAAGUAUGCAAGACACAGACAUCUAAAGUUAUUUAGCUAACAUCACACGACCAAUUAUAUAGAGCAAGCAUAUCAAUCAUAACACAAGUUUAACAGGGUUACAAGUGUAUUACUUAACCACCACUAAAGACAUGAAUCAUACUUAGCUCACACAAAGUAAAGCAAUCAAGCAUUCAUGUAUUUCAGCAAUUAUGGACAUACAUGCAACAACUCUGUAAAUAAAUCAUAACUGGAGUUACACAUCUCCAAAAACUAUGCAAUAGGACAUUCUGGAAAUAUUAUCAAAUUAUCUACAAUUCAUGUUUAAUCACAUUAGCAUGAUUAGCAAGUUAACCAAGUCAAACAUGCAUGACCAUAUAAUCUGGUCCAGGAAUUUCCAGAGAACAAGCAUUUCAAUGGAUGAACUUCAUACUACUGUAACUCAUAAACCACUUAGCCAAAUGAUAUGCAACUUUACCACAAGAUAUGUUCAUAAAUUAUCUACAUAUUUUAUAUAGACAAGUUGCACAAGAAACAUCAUUUAUAUCAUGAAAUUAGUUGCACAAUCAAAACUGCUCAUGCUGCCCAAACAGUAGGGGCACAAUUACACACAGAAAACUGAUAGGCAAUUCAAAGCAGCAUAACUGGAGUUGUAGACCUCCAGCCAACAUGAUUCUUAUAUUUUUGGAAAGCUUAUAAAGUUACCUACAACUUUCUUAUUAUCAUCUAAAUAGGAAUCUAGAGUUAACAAGGUCAAUUAAUCCCAUGAAGAUAUCUCUGUCCAAAACACAGACAGAAUCUGUCAUGCUACAUUAAACACCCAUAACAUGAGUUUCACAUGUCCAUAAAUUAUGGUUAUAUACUUUAUAGAAACCUUAUCUAAUUGUUAACAACUUUGUUAUAAACAUGUACAGCUAAAUCUACAACUAAAAAGGUCUUACAUUACAAACAAUGCAACCCUGUCUGGGUUUAGACAGAAACUGGAACAGUAAUUUAAACCACUAUAACUAAACAUGUGCUUAACCAAAAAUUAUGCUAUUUAUCUUUUUGGAAAGCUUAUGAAAAUUACUAAAACUUAUAUAUUUUCAUCCAGGCAAGAUUCACAACUUAACUGAGCCAAACAAUACAAACAUGCAGAUCCACUCAGAAUAGGAGCAAAGGAACACAGGGUACUUGUUAUUUUUAUAACUCUUAAUAUAUUAUUCCUAAAUUCAUAAAACUUUUACCAGUCAUCAAAUAUCAUAUGAAAAGCAUGUCACAAUAUUUUCACAUUUAUUUGGGCAACAACACAGCAUUUAUGAAAAAGACAAAUAUAACAAGGAAUUAAAAACUAACUGCAUAAAUCUAUUUUUACGACUAAAACUUCAAACUAAACCAUGCCAUAUUAUAGAUCCACUGCAUAGAGAAUUUCAUAAGGAUUCCAAAAAGUCCACAUUUGCUAUUUUACGAUUUCUCUACAGUUUAUUAUAAUUUUCCAAACUUCAGUCAUAUGAAAGAAAAACAGAUUUGCACAGAGACCCUUGAGAUAUCCGCAAAACAAACUACAACAAAGAGGUCCCUGCAGGUACUAUUCACAUGAGUCACAGCUUCGCAGAACGACCCCUUAUCUUCUUAGAAUUGUUGCAGCAGGUCCCUGACGGGAGAGAAAGCAGAGCAUCGACGGGGAGCUCGCCGUGGACGGCCGGAGGAGGCACUCCGGCGGCGAGAUAAGGGCUAGCGAGGGUGGAGGCAACCCUUGCGCACCCGAUGACGGCCCUGGCUCGACCCACGGCCGCUCGAGGCCAGUAGGCCAUGGAGGCAGUGGCCCGCACCAUGGCAGCUCCGGCCACCUAGGUCUGCAAGCGACGACACGACUCAGGAGGCAGCGCAGGGGAGGAAGCAUGGUGUUCGGAGGUCGAUGGUGACGCCGGCUGAGAUGGAUGAGGCUCCAAGAGGCAAGAACGCCGACGGCAAGGAGCUUCGUCGGACGUCCAUGGUGGACGCGGCCACACUUGCGCGCCCGAGUGGCAAUGGCAAGGGUGAGCGCCUGAGAGGGAGGGCGAGUGAAUGGGAGUGGAGAGGAGCUCGGUCGCAG
Molecule: long non-coding RNA, 2188 nt
Filed under: Sorghum bicolor (sorghum)
Lineage: Eukaryota; Viridiplantae; Streptophyta; Magnoliopsida; Poales; Poaceae
Description: long non-coding RNA (SBIC_LNC011922)
Source: RNAcentral